This 269-nucleotide unclassified non-coding RNA is filed under the name uncultured Orbiliales. RNAcentral describes it as "sequence contains 5.8S rRNA gene, ITS2, 28S rRNA gene". The stretch from base 1 to 52 matches the Rfam family "5.8S ribosomal RNA", at positions 103 to 154 of the family's 154-position model. The record is from RNAcentral. Lineage: Eukaryota; Fungi; Ascomycota; Orbiliomycetes; Orbiliales.
AACGCACAUUGCGCCCAUCGGUAUUCCGUUGGGCAUGUCUGUUUGAGCGUCAUCACAACCCUCGACCGUAGUCGGUUUUGAGCGAGCUGGGUUAGUUCCCGAGUUCGCUUCAAAGUUGGUAAGCUCUCUGCUGGCCGUCGAGCCCUGCCAGAACAUAGUAGUCAGCCUUACUUGUUCGAGGAAAGGUUCGAAGCGGUCCGGCCUGAACAAAGACCUGCAUCUUUCUCAGGUUUGACCUCAGAUCAGACAAGGAUACCCGCUGAACUUAA